This 467-nucleotide ribosomal RNA is filed under the name uncultured bacterium. RNAcentral's name for it is "bacterial SSU rRNA". It matches the Rfam family "Bacterial small subunit ribosomal RNA", at positions 355 to 825 of the family's 1533-position model. The record is from RNAcentral.
UAGGGAAUAUUGGGCAAUGGAGGGAACUCUGACCCAGCCAUGCCGCGUGCAGGAUGAAGGCGUUAUGCGUUGUAAACUGCUUUUUAUAUAGGAAGAAAUAGUCCUUGCGAGGAAAGUUGACGGUACUAUAUGAAUAAGCACCGGCUAACUCCGUGCCAGCAGCCGCGGUAAUACGGAGGGUGCAAGCGUUGUCCGGAUUUAUUGGGUUUAAAGGGUGCGUAGGCGGUUUAUUAAGUCAGUGGUGAAAGACGGUCGCUCAACGAUUGCAGUGCCAUUGAUACUGGUAGACUUGAGUAUGAUUGAGGUAGCUGGAAUGGAUAGUGUAGCGGUGAAAUGCAUAGAUAUUAUCCAGAACACCAAUUGCGUAGGCAAGUUACUAAGUCAUAACUGACGCUGAGGCACGAAAGUGUGGGUAUCAAACAGGAUUAGAUACCCUGGUAGUCCCUGAGCGGGCUGGCAAGGCGCAU